This 331-nucleotide unclassified non-coding RNA is filed under the name soil metagenome. Its description in RNAcentral is "partial contains 5.8S ribosomal RNA, internal transcribed spacer 2, and large subunit ribosomal RNA". The stretch from base 1 to 120 matches the Rfam family "5.8S ribosomal RNA", at positions 35 to 154 of the family's 154-position model. The record is from RNAcentral.
GAUGAAGAACGUAGCGAAAUGCGAUACGUAGUGUGAAUUGCAGAAUUCCGUGAACCAUCGAAUCUUUGAACGCACAUUGCGCCCCCUGGUAUUCCGGGGGGCAUGCCUGUUCGAGCGUCAUUUCACCACUCAAGCCUCGCUUGGUAUUGGGCAACGCGGUCCGCCGCGUGCCUCAAAUCGACCGGCUGGGUCUUCUGUCCCCUAAGCGUUGUGGAAACUAUUCGCUAAAGGGUGUUCGGGAGGCUACGCCGUAAAACAACCCCAUUUCUAAGGUUGACCUCGGAUCAGGUAGGGAUACCCGCUGAACUUAAGCAUAUCAAUAAGCGGAGGA